RNAcentral lists this ribosomal RNA (210 nucleotides) under uncultured prokaryote. Its description in RNAcentral is "partial 16S ribosomal RNA". It matches the Rfam family "Archaeal small subunit ribosomal RNA", at positions 474 to 684 of the family's 1478-position model. The record is from RNAcentral.
UACCAGCACCCCGAGUGGUCGGGACGAUUAUUGGGCCUAAAGCAUCCGUAGCCGGUUCUGCAAGUCUUCCGUUAAAUCCACCUGCUCAACAGAUGGGCUGCGGAGGAUACUACAGGGCUAGGAGGCGGGAGAGGCAAGCGGUACUCAGUGGGUAGGGGUAAAAUCCUCUGAUCCACUGAAGAACACCAAGGGCGAAGGCACUCUGCUGGG